AAUUUAACAGAGUAUGCAAUGAAUGAGUAACUCAACAGAGUGUGCAUCGGGUGAGUGAUUCAACAGAGUGUGCAUCGGGUGAGUACCUCAACAGAGUGUGCAUCAUGCUAGUACCUCAACAGAGUGUGCACCGGGUGAGUGAUUCAACAGAGUGUGAUUCGGGUGAGUACCUCAACAGAGCGUGCAUCAUGCUAGUACCUCAACAGAGUGUGCAC
Pelobates cultripes (western spadefoot toad) is the source of this 215-nucleotide non-coding RNA. Lineage: Eukaryota; Metazoa; Chordata; Amphibia; Anura; Pelobatidae. The record is from the annotation of a GenBank genome assembly.